ACUCUCGGCAACGGAUAUCUCGGCUCUCCCAUCGAUGAAGAACGUAGCAAAAUGCGAUACUUGGUGUGAAUUGCAGAAUCCCGUGAAUCAUCGAGUCUUUGAACGCAAGUUGCGCCCGAGGCCAUUAGGCUGAGGGCACGUCUGCCUGGGCGUCACGC
This 158-nucleotide ribosomal RNA is filed under the name Gentiana faucipilosa. Its description in RNAcentral is "5.8S ribosomal RNA". It matches the Rfam family "5.8S ribosomal RNA". Rfam says of the family: 5.8S ribosomal RNA (5.8S rRNA) is a component of the large subunit of the eukaryotic ribosome. It is transcribed by RNA polymerase I as part of the 45S precursor that also contains 18S and 28S rRNA. Lineage: Eukaryota; Viridiplantae; Streptophyta; Magnoliopsida; Gentianales; Gentianaceae. The record is from RNAcentral.